CAUUAUCGAAAGCAACAAAGUCCGAAGGGGGGAAAAAAAAAGAGGGUGAUGCUAGGUGGGGACGACUGUCGCUGGCAUAUAUCGUAUGCAUGUGCACGUCGAAACCUUGGCUCGCCCCUCUUCCUUUCGGCGUAAUGCUUAAUACACCUGUGAACCUGUUGUAGGUUGUUCCCCUACGAGCAGUAGGGAGGACGAUCUAUGUCUUUCCAUCACACUACAUGUAUGUCUACAGAACGUUGAAAGUCGUCUCGACCCUUGACGGGGUUGGACGCAAAACUAUAAUACAACUUUCAGCAACGGAUCUCUUGGCUCUCGCAUCGAUGAAGAACGCAGCGAAUUGCGAUAAGUAAUGUGAAUUGCAGAUUUUCAGUGAAUCAUCGAAUCUUUGAACGCACCUUGCGCUCCUUGGUAUUCCGAGGAGCAUGCCUGUUUGAGUGUCAUCGAAUUCUCAACCAUGUCUUGAUGUUAACUUUCGAGGCAUGGCUUGGACUUGGGAGCUUUGCUGGUUGGACCCCCCUCUCUUUGAGGGGGGGAAUGUCAGCUCUCCUCAAAAGCAUUAGCAAAAGGGGACGUGUUCGUCGCAUGAACUGACGGCCUUCGACGUGAUAAUGAUCGUCGUGGCUGGAGGGAAAAGUGUGAUGGCGAAGGUCUGUCCUAGCUUCUAAUCAAAGGCGAGGGGCUUGUGUCACGCAUGCCCUCUGUCUUAUCGAACCUUGACCUCAAAUCAGGUAGGACUACCCGCUGAACUUAAGCAUAUCAA
This 760-nucleotide ribosomal RNA is filed under the name Phlebopus portentosus. RNAcentral's name for it is "eukaryotic LSU rRNA". The stretch from base 286 to 440 matches the Rfam family "5.8S ribosomal RNA". Lineage: Eukaryota; Fungi; Basidiomycota; Agaricomycetes; Boletales; Boletinellaceae. The record is from RNAcentral.